This 73-nucleotide transfer RNA is filed under the name Stegodyphus mimosarum. It matches the Rfam family "tRNA". Rfam says of the family: Transfer RNA (tRNA) molecules are approximately 80 nucleotides in length. Lineage: Eukaryota; Metazoa; Arthropoda; Arachnida; Araneae; Eresidae. The record is from Rfam by way of RNAcentral.
GCCUUCGUGAUGUAGUGGUCAGCAUACUGGACGCGGAACCAAAAGGUCCGUGGUUCGAUUCCCGGAGAAGGUG